This 468-nucleotide ribosomal RNA is filed under the name uncultured bacterium. Its description in RNAcentral is "partial 16S ribosomal RNA". It matches the Rfam family "Bacterial small subunit ribosomal RNA", at positions 28 to 507 of the family's 1533-position model. The record is from RNAcentral.
GACGAACGCUGGCGGCGUGCUUAACACAUGCAAGUCGAACGGAAAGGCGCUGCUUUUGUGGGGUGCUCGAGUGGCGAACGGGUGAGUAACACGUGAGUAACCUGCCCUUGACUUUGGGAUAACUUCAGGAAACUGGGGCUAAUACCGGAUAGGAGCUCCUGCUGCAUGGUGGGGGUUGGAAAGUUUCGGCGGUUGGGGAUGGACUCGCGGCUUAUCAGCUUGUUGGGGGGGUAGUGGCUUACCAAGGCUUUGACGGGUAGCCGGCCUGAGAGGGUGACCGGCCACAAGGGUACUGAGAUACGGCCCAGACGCCAACGGGAGGCAGCAGGGGGGAAUAUUGCACAAUGGGCGGAAGCCUGAUGCAGCAGCGCCGCGUGCGGGAUGACGGCCUACGGGUUGUAAACCGCUUUCGCCUGUGACGAAGCGUGAGUGACGGUAAUGGGUAAAGAAGCACCGGCUAACUACGUG